UACAGAGGGUGCAAGCGUUGUUCGGAAUUAUUGGGCGUAAAGCGCGGGUAGGCGGCUUUGCAAGUCGGGUGUGAAAGCCCUCAGCUCAACUGAGGAAGUGCGCCCGAAACUGCAGAGCUUGAGUGCCGGGGAGGGUGGCGGACUUCCCAAAGUAGGGGUGAAAUUCGUAGAUAUGGGGAGGAACACCGGUGGCGAAGGCGGCCACCUGGACGGCAACCGACGCUGAGACGCGUAAGCGUGGGGAGCAAACACG
Molecule: ribosomal RNA, 253 nt
Filed under: uncultured bacterium
Lineage: Bacteria
Description: partial 16S ribosomal RNA
Rfam family: Bacterial small subunit ribosomal RNA
Source: RNAcentral